CAGUCGCCGCGGGAAUACGAAGGGUGCAAGCGUUACUCGGAAUUACUGGGCGUAAAGCGUGCGUAGGUGGUGGUUUAAGUCCGUUGUGAAAGCCCUGGGCUCAACCUGGGAAUUGCAGUGGAUACUGGGUCACUAGAGUGUGGUAGAGGAUAGUGGAAUUUCCGGUGUAGCAGUGAAAUGCGUAGAGAUCGGGAGGAACAUCAGUGGCGAAGGCGGCCAUCUGGGACAACACUGACGCUGAGGCACGAAAGCGUGGGGAGCAAACAGGAUUAGAUACCCCAGUAGUCCCUGUCUCUUAUAA
This 301-nucleotide ribosomal RNA is filed under the name uncultured bacterium. RNAcentral describes it as "partial 16S ribosomal RNA". It matches the Rfam family "Bacterial small subunit ribosomal RNA", at positions 509 to 809 of the family's 1533-position model. The record is from RNAcentral.